CCGUCAAUUCAUUUAAGUUUCAACCUUGCGGCCGUACUCCCCAGGCGGUCAACUUCACGCGUUAGCUUCGUUACUGAGUCAGUGAAGACCCAACAACCAGUUGACAUCGUUUAGGGCGUGGACUACCAGGGUAUCUAAUCCUGUUUGCUCCCCACGCUUUCGUGCAUGAGCGUCAGUACAGGUCCAGGGGAUUGCCUUCGCCAUCGGUGUUCCUCCGCAUAUCUACGCAUUUCACUGCUACACGCGGAAUUCCAUCCCCCUCUACCGUACUCUAGCUAUACAGUCACAAAUGCAGUUCCCAGGUUGAGCCCGGGGAUUUCACAUCUGUCUUAUAUAACCGCCUGCGCACGCUUUACGCCCAGUAAUUCCGAUUAACGCUUGCACCCUACGUAUUACCGCG
Molecule: unclassified non-coding RNA, 400 nt
Filed under: uncultured Gammaproteobacteria bacterium
Lineage: Bacteria; Pseudomonadati; Pseudomonadota; Gammaproteobacteria
Description: contains 16S-23S intergenic spacer region
Source: RNAcentral